This 449-nucleotide ribosomal RNA is filed under the name uncultured bacterium. RNAcentral describes it as "partial 16S ribosomal RNA". It matches the Rfam family "Bacterial small subunit ribosomal RNA", at positions 29 to 523 of the family's 1533-position model. The record is from RNAcentral.
AACGAACGCUGGCGGCAUGCCUAACACAUGCAAGUCGAACGAGAUCUUCGGGUCUAGUGGCGCACGGGUGCGUAACGCGUGGGAAUCUGCCCUUUGGUUCGGAAUAACAGUUGGAAACGACUGCUAAUACCGGAUGAUGACGAAAGUUCAAAGAUUUAUCGCCAGGAGAUGUGCCCGCGUAGGAAUAGCUAGUUGGCGUGGUAAAGGCGCACCAAGGAGACGAUCCUUAGCUGGUCUGAGAGGAUGAUCAGCCACACUGGGACUGAGACACGGCCCAGACUCCUACGGGAGGCAGCAGUGGGGAAUAUUGGACAAUGGGCGAAAGCCUGAUCCAGCAAUGCCGCGUGAGUGAUGAAGGCCUUAGGGUUGUAAAGCUCUUUUACCCGGGAUGAUAAUGACAGUACCGGGAGAAUAAGCUCCGGCUAACUCCGUGCCAGCCGCCGCGGUAA